UACGGAGGGUGCGAACGUUAAUCGGAAUCACUGGGCGUAAAGCGCGCGUAGGCGGUCUGUUAAGUGGGAUGUGAAAUCCCCGGGCUUAACCCAGAGCCUGCAUUCAAAACUGACAGGCUAGAGUUCUGGAGGGGAUAGCGGAAUUCCUGGUGUAGCGGUGAAAUGCGUAGAUAUCAGGAGGAACACCGGUGGCGAAGGCGGCUAUCUGGACAGAGUCUGACGCUGAGGCGCGAAAGCUAGGGGAGCAAACAGG
RNAcentral lists this ribosomal RNA (253 nucleotides) under uncultured bacterium. RNAcentral's name for it is "partial 16S ribosomal RNA". It matches the Rfam family "Bacterial small subunit ribosomal RNA", at positions 524 to 776 of the family's 1533-position model. The record is from RNAcentral.